GACAGCAUGAUGUUCUGGAAGCCAAGAGAAAAGAGGAGUUUGAGGAUAAAUGGUCACCCAUGUCAAAUGUUGCUGAGAUGCUGAGGACAGCGACUCCAAGUGCAUCAGCAUAGGCAUUGCCAGGAGCUCAUGAGGAAUGCAGACUGUCAGGUCCCACCCCAGACCUACUCAACAGAAACUACAUGGUAAGCAGAUUCCCAGGUGACUCCAGGCACCUUACAGUUUGAGAAGCACUGCUGCAUGCUCUCCUACCUUCCUGGUCUGUAACAUCUGUUGCUGUGAGUAUAAAGACACUGUGAACAUUGUAAAAUC
This 312-nucleotide small RNA is filed under the name Pongo abelii (Sumatran orangutan). RNAcentral's name for it is "processed transcript". Lineage: Eukaryota; Metazoa; Chordata; Mammalia; Primates; Hominidae. The record is from RNAcentral.